Molecule: unclassified non-coding RNA, 356 nt
Filed under: soil metagenome
Description: partial contains 5.8S ribosomal RNA, internal transcribed spacer 2, and large subunit ribosomal RNA
Rfam family: 5.8S ribosomal RNA (bases 1-121)
Source: RNAcentral
GAUGAAGAACGCAGCGAAAUGCGAUAAGUAAUGUGAAUUGCAGAAUUCAGUGAAUCAUCGAAAUCUUUGAACGCACAUUGCGCCCAUUAGUAUUCUAGUGGGCAUGCCUGUUCGAGCGUCAUUAAGUCCACUUAAGCCCUGCUUAGUGUUGGGAGACUGCUCCAGCGGUGCUACCCUGUAGCUACCCUGCAGCUCCUCAAAGACAGCGGCGGAGUUGUGGUAUCCUCUGAGCUUAGUAACUUGUUCUAGCUUUCGAGUACACCACUUCCCCUGCCGUAAAACCCUUAAUUUUUAAUGGUUGACCUCGGAUCAGGUAGGAAUACCCGCUGAACUUAAGCAUAUCAAUAAGCGGAGGA